Molecule: RNase P RNA, 296 nt
Filed under: Stenotrophomonas maltophilia
Lineage: Bacteria; Pseudomonadati; Pseudomonadota; Gammaproteobacteria; Lysobacterales; Lysobacteraceae
Description: RNaseP_bact_a
Rfam family: Bacterial RNase P class A
About the family: Ribonuclease P (RNase P) is a ubiquitous endoribonuclease, found in archaea, bacteria and eukarya as well as chloroplasts and mitochondria. Its best characterised activity is the generation of mature 5'-ends of tRNAs by cleaving the 5'-leader elements of precursor-tRNAs.
Source: RNAcentral
GAGGAAAGUCCGGGCUCCAUAGGGCAAGGUGCCAGGUAACGCCUGGGCGGCGCGAGCCGACGGAAAGUGCAACAGAAAGAUACCGCCUACGUCUUCUUCGGAAGGCCGGUAAGGGUGAAAUGGUGCGGUAAGAGCGCACCGCGAGUCUGGCAACAGACCGGCACGGCAAACCCCACCUGGAGCAAGACCAAAUAGGGAUCCUUUGGCGCGGCCCGCGUUGGAUCCGGGUAGGUUGCUUGAGCGUUGCGGUGACGUAACGCCUAGAGGAAUGACUGUCCACGACAGAACCCGGCUUA